AACAGAGUAAAUGGUCUACGUUAAGUGCCACUGGAUGGGAUGUUGCCAGUGGACGAAGUGCUUUGUGCGCGCGGUCGGCCAUUGCCUCCGCUGUU
RNAcentral lists this non-coding RNA (95 nucleotides) under Falseniella ignava. RNAcentral's name for it is "Facklamia ignava THF-I sequence". It matches the Rfam family "THF (Tetrahydrofolate) riboswitch aptamer". From Rfam's summary of the family: THF riboswitch presents a pseudoknot that joins P1-P2 and the loop of P3 and two THF binding. Lineage: Bacteria; Bacillati; Bacillota; Bacilli; Lactobacillales; Aerococcaceae. RNAcentral also lists the same sequence under 1 other name. The record is from RNAcentral.